AGAGUUUGAUCCUGGCUCAGGACGAACGCUGGCGGCGUGCUUAACACAUGCAAGUCGUACGGGAUCAUUCUGCUUUCGGGUGGGGUGGUUUAGUGGCGAACGGGUGAGUAACACGUGAGCAACCUGCCUUUGACUCUGGGAUAACCUUCGGAAACGGGGGCUAAUACUGGAUAGGACUGUCUGCCGCAUGGUGGGUGGUGGAAAGGGUUUUCUGGUCAGGGAUGGGCUCGCGGCCUAUCAGCUGGUUGGUGGGGUGAUGGCCUACCAAGGCGACGACGGGUAGCCGGCCUGAGAGGGCGACCGGCCACACUGGGACUGAGACACGGCCCAGACUCCUACGGGAGGCAGCAGUGGGGAAUAUUGCGCAAUGGGCGGAAGCCUGACGCAGCGACGCCGCGUGGGGGAUGGAGGCCUUCGGGUUGUAAACCUCUUUCAGCGCCGAAGAAGCUUUUGGGUGACGGUAGGCGCAGAAGAAGCACCGGGCUAACUACGUACCAGCAGCCGCGGUAAUACGUAGGGUGCAAGCGUUGUCCGGAAUUAUUGGGCGUAAAGAGCUCGUAGGCGGUUUGUCGCGUCUGCUGUGAAAACCUGGGGCUUAACUUCGGGCUGGCAGUGGGUACGGGCAGACUGGAGUGCGGUAGGGGAGACUGGAAUUCCUGGUGUAGCGGUGAAAUGCGCAGAUAUCAGGAGGAACACCGGUGGCGAAGGCGGGUCUCUGGGCCGUAACUGACGCUGAGGAGCGAAAGCGUGGGGAGCGAACAGGAUUAGAUACCCUGGUAGUCCACGCUGUAAACGUUGGG
This 800-nucleotide ribosomal RNA is filed under the name uncultured bacterium. RNAcentral's name for it is "bacterial SSU rRNA". It matches the Rfam family "Bacterial small subunit ribosomal RNA", at positions 8 to 813 of the family's 1533-position model. The record is from RNAcentral.